RNAcentral lists this long non-coding RNA (844 nucleotides) under Vigna radiata. RNAcentral describes it as "long non-coding RNA (VRAD_LNC001596)". Lineage: Eukaryota; Viridiplantae; Streptophyta; Magnoliopsida; Fabales; Fabaceae. The record is from RNAcentral.
CCAAGACCCUUUCGUUCAGAAACAACGGGUUCUACCAGCUUCUUCCCAUUUCACCAUUUGCGUUCAACAUCAAAGAGACACAGGUCUCUUCCUCUAAACAAAAUCCCAGGGGAAAGGUAACUCCGCCAUUUCACACACUCACUCUGUCUAUGACCUAAGAGUCACUACCUGCAACACCUAUUUCCUCCGCCAUCAAUGGCGUCGCCGGUGACGACGCGCGACGCCGGAGCCGCUGUCAACUCCGACACCAGGCCCUACCGGGGCAACCGCCAGCCGCGCUGUUGAUCUUCGAGCUCGAACUGAGAUGCCGCCGGCGACACAGGUCGCCACCGCUCAUCACCGGGACCUCGUUCCUUCACGCCCCGUCAUCGCCGCUUCCACGAGGCUAGCCGCCACCGCCACCGUCUAUAACAGAAGGGAAACCCUUCCCCGCAGGUCAAACUGAAACGUGCUGCCACUCCUUCAACCCUAAGAUGAGUCCUCUCCUCUUUUUGUUAAUUUAAUUUCAUCCGAAUGGAGAUUGAAGAAAGGUUUCUUUGUUUUCUGUCACGUAUGUCUUUCUGGCUCAAGAAUUUGGUUCCUUAGUUGGUGAUGUGAAGUAAACAAAGACAUGGAAACAUAGUUUCAUUAUCUGACUUGGUUUAUGGUUGCUGCGAUUGAUUCAGGUUUGGAUUGGAUCCUUUUUUUUUUUUUGCAGAUAAAUGGAAUCGGGAUUGUGUGAGGGAUUUUCUGAUUUUGCUUAGCUUCCUUCCUGUGUGUCCGUGGGCGUUGUUUUCGUUUUCCAUUGUAGGUGAAGGAGAAACAGGGGUGAAUGGCAGUUCUGAUAAAGAUGAGGAUACUGGUU